UACGGAGGGUGCAAGCAUUGAUCGGAAUUACUGGGCGUAAAGGGCGCGUAGGCGGUUAGAUAAGUCAGAUGUGAAAUUCCGGGGCUCAACCCCGGAGCUGCAUUUGAAACUAUCCAACUAGAGUACAGUUAGGGAAAACGGAAUUCCACGUGUAGCGGUGAAAUGCGUAGAUAUGUGGAAGAACAUCGGUGGUGAAGACGGUUUUCUGGGCUGAAACUGACGCUGAGGCGCGAAAGCAAGGGGAGCAAACAGG
RNAcentral lists this ribosomal RNA (253 nucleotides) under uncultured prokaryote. Its description in RNAcentral is "partial 16S ribosomal RNA". It matches the Rfam family "Bacterial small subunit ribosomal RNA", at positions 524 to 776 of the family's 1533-position model. The record is from RNAcentral.